Molecule: long non-coding RNA, 4076 nt
Organism: Myotis daubentonii (Daubenton's bat)
Lineage: Eukaryota; Metazoa; Chordata; Mammalia; Chiroptera; Vespertilionidae
Exons: 3
Source: RefSeq, a predicted model, not a curated record
UCCCUUCCAUUCUCUCUAGAAAUCAAUCGAAAAAUAUCCUCACUCCUCGUGUGAGGAUAAAAAUAAAACAAGUGGCAACACUGUACAGUGCUUAUUAACUCAUUCGAUCUUUGCAAAUUGCAUUGUUAUCCACGCCUCACAGGGAAACUAAGGCACCGGAGGUGGUUGGAAUGACAUGCCCAAGGUCACAUAGCUGUAAGUGGCAGAGCUGGGACUUGAACUCAGGCAGUACAAGAACGGAAGGCUCUUCCUCUCCCCAUCAUGCUAUGAUGCCUGCCUCUGCUUAGUUGUGAUGCAGUUGGCUUGAAGUAAGGACUAGCACUCUGUGCCUAACCACUGCGUCUAUUGGAAGGAAAGUUCCUGGGGCUGCUGCUGACACAGUUAUCCUUUAUGAAGACCCCUGAGGAGGAACUUUUGCUCCUUGCAACCACAAACUGCAUUUCUGCUGAGCUUUGCUUUCAUCUUACGUGCUGUCUGAAUUAUGUCAGUGACCGGGUAGGGUUCCUCUUUCACAUUCGGUGGUGAAAAGCUUCAUGCCAAAUUUGGGUUCUACCAGAAGCAGCUGUAGCGUAGGUCAUCAUGGUGAUUUAUGAGAACCUCAUUCCUCGUUUAUUUUAUAUCGUCAUCUUUCGUUUUGUUUUCUUAUUCUAAAUGUUCACUUUCAUUUAUGCUGUUCUGUAUUUCUUCAGCCCCCUUAGAUUAGACAGUUAUUAGUACGAAUUGCUGGGAUGACCACAACGAUACCUAUCAAGGUCUGGGCGCUGGCAGCAGGAGAUACAUUGACCUUUUGCAAUUGGAAAUGGUACCUUAUUGCCUUCCAUUCAAAAUGCAAUUAUGGUUUCUGGCAUACCUGCCAUUGUCAGUUUACCUUAUUUAUGUCUCUCUUUGUUCCAGACAGGAUUAAGUUCAGCUGAAUCAGCAGGUAUUACUCUAAACUCUGGAAAUCAAAUGUCUUGGGUUUUUCUGACAUUCUGAUGAGUCACUUGAGUGAAGCCUGAUCUAUGAACAUAAACAAGUUCCUAUAAUAGAAUUGUGGAGAUGGAGGGGCAUUAGAACUUACCGAGGGAGGGGGAAAGGCGGCCUCACUAUUAAGAAAAGGGCAGAACAGCUAUGUGAACCCAGACAUGGUCUGUCACCUCACCUCUGCUGCACUGCCCACUACUCACAGGUCUCCCCGCCCACCCAGGGGUUAUGCUAAAUGUCAUUUUAAAGUACAAAUGGCUUGUGUUAGAGACAUGAAAAUAUACUUUCUUGCCAUUGUGUUCUGUGGACUUUAAUGGUUAACCAAAGCACUGACCUGUUCCUUAAGCUGAUACUGUCCUAAACCACAAUGCCUCUUUCUAAGUCUAAUCUCCAUUUGUUUGUGAACAGGAAGAUCACUACAAACCUAUCAUCUUCCCUUGAUAAACAUUAAAAAACAUUUUUUUGUUUUUAAUCCUCACCCGAGGAUAUUUCCCCCCAUUGAUUUUUAGAGAGAGGGGAAGGGACGGGGAGAGACAGAGAAACAUCGAUGUGAGAGAGACAUAUCGAUUGGUUUCUCCUGCACCUGCCCCACUGGGGCCAGGGAUCGAGCCUGCAACCAGGUAAGUGCCCUUGAGCAGAAUCAAACCUGUGACCCUUCAGUCCAAGAGCCGACACCCUAACUACUGACCCAAACCGGCGAGGGUGACAAACAUUUUAAGUGAGAAAUCUUUUCACUUCUCAAAAAAAAAAAAAAAAUCCACAUUGAAUAACACACUUCCCCGAGAAAGCACCCGACACUGGGAAUGCUGAGAGGGAGCUAAGCAGAAGGUGCGCGAGUUCCCCUAGCAGGUGAGGUGUGACCACCUCUUCACCGCUCAGGCACUACCUUUCUGAUUAGAACGAGGAUUUCUUCAAUCCCAGUGUCUGCUGCAGACCUCUAAUUCACGUUAGGACCCUAGGUCCCGUCUAUAGGGCCCUUGGUGAACGUAAGCCCUGGGUUAGGACAUGCCUGGUGCUCGGGUGUGUCAGAGGUGUCUGUGGUGUUCAUUGAGUUUCUCAGUAUUCCCUGGGGGUCCUUUUUCACAUCUUGGGAAGCGUUUGUGAAAGGAAAUGAGAAAUGUGGAGUAUCGGAGAAUGACCCACACUCAGGGCGACGCUGUCACUGUAUCCGCUUAGGAAUCUCUCACUGAGGAGCAUUCAAUAGGUUGUUCUCCCCUAGUACCCCCUCAAUUUUGAUUUGUUUAUUAUUUUUUCAUGUCCAAAUUAGUCUAAGGAUCAAUUUAAUAAUAAACUCUGACCCAGAGUACUUUCAACUGGAAAUACGCAACUGUAAAUCUCCUGAGAUUUAUUUUUAAAUGGGUAAUUUUAUUUGCUGGAACCAUUUCAAAUAAAUGUGUGUAUAUAUUAUCUUAUGAUUAUAUUUCAGAAAAUUCAAAUUAUUUUACAGUGUCCAUUUAUGUUCUUUUAAAAUUGUAUGAUAUGCCUUCUGCACACAUACCGAGUGCUUAUGUGUUUUUGUAUGUGUCAUUAAACGAAAUGCCUUCUGGAGGUUCAAGAAGAGUCACUAACCUAAUUCUCUUGAAUCCUCAUGCUGUAAGUUGCAAGUACGUAGAAGGGAGGCAUUGUAGAGUUAGUUAUUUCUUCCUAUAAUGGGCUAUGAGGUUAUUUUCUGUCGCAAUAAAAUUAAUAUUCCCUCUCUUUGGGGAUUAAUUUCCAAAUUCGAAGACUCUGGGUCAGAGUUAGCUGGACUGUUUCACUGAAAUUUCAGCCCCUAAGAAACAAAAAUAGGGUUUGAAGUAGUUUCUAGGUCACUGGCACAGAAAUCUGGCAAAAUGCUGUCGCUGCCUUUGGAUAGUCCUAGUCAGUACAAUUCCAUCAGCACAGGCUGUUCUUUUGGCCUGUGAUUCAAACGUAGGAGAAAAUAUAAUAUGGGGGUCCCCAAAUUUGCUCUAUAGUUUUCAGGUGUGGGUGAUUCUUAUUUUAGUAAAUCCCCUGACUUCAGGGAGGGAAGACACAUGUAAUCAGAUAUAAGUUCUAUAUUUCACCUCCCUGAGCUGUUGACAGUUUUUGUUAUUUUCAUUUAAAUUUCAUUUUUGGGUCAGAAUACUGAAAAGUGUGCAGACUUGGAGUGAAUAGAUCCGUGCUCUACUUAACGUGGACCGACCGUGGUAAAGUAAUUUAAGCUUUCAGAACCUCUGUUUUGAAAUAAGUACCCACCUCCUAGACUUAUAAGGAAUAAAACUAACUUACCUGAGUGCUGUGUGCAUCGUGUGCCUGGCCCUGUACGGGCUGAUGCUGUCAUUAUCCCCAUAAAGAAAACAAGGCUUGAACAGUAAGUCCGCUUCCCGAGGGUGGGGAGUAGACCAGACCAAGAGCCAGCCCGGCUGUGGCGAUGCUGUGGGCAGCCCGAGACACCCUGCCUCCCCCGCUGAGUCACCGCCUCUGAAAGUGCCUGGUACCUUACAGUGGCUCCGUAGAGGAAGGGAGAGGCAGAGAGAGAUAGAAACAUCAAUGAUGAGAAUCACUGAUUGGCUGCCUUCUGCACACCCUACACUGGGGAUCAAGCCUGCAACCCGGGUAUGUGGCCCGACUGGGAAUCGAACCAUGACCUCCUGGUUCAUAGGUCGAUGUUCAACCACUGAGCCAUGCUGGCUGGGCCAGAAGUGUUUUCAUGCCUGCGCUUAGAAAUCCACUGUGCUUCCCAUGAUCUUUAACAGGAAAAAAACAAGUUGUAACAGAAUCGACACCGUGCUUCCGAGGGAUGCGAUUAGAUGACCCACCUCCAGCCCCUGAGGGGAAGUACUUGGCCUUCCUACCUCACCACGUACCAGGUUCACAAGAAAACAAAAUGAACAAGGCACACCGCUCACAGACCCCUCUGUUUGUGAGUGGGAGCAGAAUGGCUCGGUGGCUAAACACACGGGCCUGGGCAUCAGACAGACCUGGCUUUGGAACUCAAGCCUACAAUCAUCGUGAAGCGGCCUGGGUACCCACCACCGGCCCUGGCCUCAGCGCAGGGCCUGGUAACUCUCAAUUAUUAGCAUAAUGAUAUGAUUACUUCCCCUGUGGGCCAACCACCGUCUUGAAUGGUGACAGCCUUCCCACCCCCCCAC